GAUGAACGCUGGCGGCGUGCCUAAUACAUGCAAGUCGAGCGAACAGACGAGGAGCUUGCUCCUCUGACGUUAGCGGCGGACGGGUGAGUAACACGUGGAUAACCUACCUAUAAGACUGGGAUAACUUCGGGAAACCGGAGCUAAUACCGGAUAAUAUAUUGAACCGCAUGGUUCAAUAGUGAAAGACGGUUUUGCUGUCACUUAUAGAUGGAUCCGCGCCGCAUUAGCUAGUUGGUAAGGUAACGGCUUACCAAGGCAACGAUGCGUAGCCGACCUGAGAGGGUGAUCGGCCCACCUGGAACUGAGACACGGGCCCGACUCCCACGGGAGGGAGCAGUGGGGAAUCUUCCGCAAUGGGGGGAAGCCUGGCGGAGGCACGCCCCGUGAGGGGUGAAGGUCUUCGGAUCGUAAAACCCUUUUAAUAGGGAAAAAAAAAAGUGGAAGGAAACAGGCCCGGUUUGACGGUACCUAAUCAAAAAGCCCCGGCUAACUACGUG
This 497-nucleotide ribosomal RNA is filed under the name uncultured bacterium. RNAcentral's name for it is "partial 16S ribosomal RNA". It matches the Rfam family "Bacterial small subunit ribosomal RNA", at positions 28 to 507 of the family's 1533-position model. The record is from RNAcentral.